Molecule: long non-coding RNA, 1331 nt
Filed under: Amborella trichopoda
Lineage: Eukaryota; Viridiplantae; Streptophyta; Magnoliopsida; Amborellales; Amborellaceae
Description: long non-coding RNA (ATRI_LNC004849)
Source: RNAcentral
ACAAAUAAAAAGUUCUUGUUUGCGCACCACAACACAUAACACACCAUACAAAUAGAGAUCGAAAAAAAAUACAAGUCCACCCACGUUCAUUGAACCGCUCGUUAAUAUUAGAGUAAUUUGAAGACUGGUUAUCCCAUUCCCACAAGAUCCCACUUUAACAAUAAAAAGAGAGAAAAAAAACCAGAGGCAAAACAAAAAGCAUCGUAUAAAGCAAUAGAGUCACAGAGAGAGGAGUUGGGAAGGGGGAGUGAGAGAAGAGGGGCUAUAAACGAAUUGGUUCUCUAGAUUGAGCAUCUUCUCUCUCUGGUGCCUUGUUCCUCAUAGGUGCCUACACAACUUCCUCGAAGAAGAACUGAAUCUGCACAGGGAUAUCAUGUAUAAAUAUUAUUUCACGGAAACAAAAUAAACAGAGAGAGAGAGAGAUGGCUUGAAGAGGAAGUGAAGAGGCCAUACCAGUACAUAAGAAGAGAGUGCAUGACUAUUUGCAGUGUUCUAAAUUAUAAUCAAUAAACCAAAAACCAACUCAUACAAUCAUUUAAAGAAAGAAAACAGAGCACGCCUGCUUAUCUCUAACAUUAUAUCUCCAUGUCCAUUCACUCACCAUUUAUAUAUAAUCCACACAUAAACCAAUAGAUUUCCGAACAUCAAACAAACCAAAAGUCUUCCUCUGUGAGGAACCAUACCAUACAGAUUGUUUUUUUCUAGCAAUAUAUCUCCAUGUCACCGUUCAUAUAUAAUCCACACAUAAACCAAUAUGUGUCCCAAUAUCAAACAAACCAAUAAGUAUCCCUAUGUGAGGAACCAAGAGUCACCACACCAUACACAUUGUUUUUGAUAUAAUAAAGGUCUUUUAUAAUUAAAGAAGAAAGAGAGAAAAGCAACUAGAAAUCCUUCGACUAAAGCUCCACCGUCUAGGGGAAGUUCCCACCCUUCAUAACGCAUUUCCCGACGUCCUCCCCUAGGGAGCCCAACCUUACCGACCUUUGGCACCGGGUUGACGUCCUUCCCCGGUUAGCCCAACCUUACCGACCCUUAGCUCCGGGUUGGGUGUGGCUAGAAAUGAGGCAAUGAACACUUGCAAAGAGCUAGAUUCACAAUGAUCAGAGACGGGGCUCCAGUUACCUUUAUCACGACCUUCGUCUUUCAGCUAACUACGCUAUUAAAACGUACUACGGGAAAAUGGUGGCUAAAAUAUGUGAUUUUGGUAUCGAGUGUAGCAAGUCCACCAAAAUCACAUGUUUUAGCGACCGUAGUACACGUAAUAGCGUAGUUUGCUGACAUGCGAAGGUCGUGAGAACCCGUAUCUGAUCAUUACGCAAUCUAGCUCUUCG